GGUCAAGCGAAUAAGCGCACACGGUGGAUGCCUUGGCGGUCAGAGGCGAUGAAGGACGUGGCAGCCUGCGAAAAGUAUCGGGGAGCUGGCAACAAGCUUUGAUCCGGUAAUGUCCGAAUGGGGAAACCCACCCGCUUGCGGGUAUCCUGCAGUGAAUACAUAGCUGCUGGAAGCGAACCUGGUGAACUGAAAUAUCUAAGUAACCAGAGGAAAAGAAAUCAACCGAGAUUCCGUAAGUAGCGACGAGCGAACGCGGACUAGCCCUUAAGCUGAUUUGGUUCUAGGAAAACGCUCUGGAAAGAGCGGCCAUAGAAGGUGAUAGCCCUGUAUCUAAAAGGGCCAUUUCAGUGAAGACGAGUAGGGCGGGGCACGUGAAACCCUGUCUGAACAUGGGGGGACCAUCCUCCAAGGCUAAAUACUACUGACCGACCGAUAGUGAACCAGUACCGUGAGGGAAAGGCGAAAAGAACCCCGGAGAGGGGAGUGAAAUAGAACCUGAAACCGUGUGCGUACAAGCAGUAGGAGCUCCGCAAGGAGUGACUGCGUACCUUUUGUAUAAUGGGUCAGCGACUUACUGUUCGUGGCAAGCUUAACCGUAUAGGGGAGGCGAAGGGAAACCGAGUCUGAUAAGGGCGCAUAGUCGCGGGCAGUAGACCCGAAACCGGGUGAUCUAGUCAUGCCCAGGGUGAAGGUGCGGUAACACGCACUGGAGGCCCGAACCCACUCCCGUUGCAAAGGUAGGGGAUGAGGUGUGAUUAGGAGUGAAAAGCUAAUCGAACCCGGAGAUAGCUGGUUCUCCUCGAAAGCUAUUUAGGUAGCGCCUCAUAUGUAUCCUCUCGGGGGUAGAGCACUGUUAUGGCUAGGGGGUCAUCGCGACUUACCAAACCAUUGCAAACUCCGAAUACCGAGACGGACUGUAUGGGAGACACACGGCGGGUGCUAACGUCCGUCGUGAAAAGGGAAACAACCCAGACCCACAGCUAAGGUCCCAAAUUUUGUGCUAAGUGGAAAACCAUGUGGAAAGGCACAGACAGCCAGGAGGUUGGCUUAGAAGCAGCCACCCUUUAAAGAAAGCGUAAUAGCUCACUGGUCGAGUCGGUCUGCGGGGAAGAUUUAACGGGGCUAAGCACAGAACCGAAGCUUGGGGUGCAUAACUUUGUUAUGCGCGGUAGAGGAGCGUUCCGUAAGCCGUUGAAGGUGGAUUGAGAAGUCUGCUGGAGGUAUCGGAAGUGCGAAUGCUGACAUGAGUAACGAUAAUGCGGGUGAAAAACCCGCACGCCGAAAGCCCAAGGUUUCCUUGCGCAACGUUAAUCGGCGCAGGGUGAGUCGGCCCCUAAGGCGAGGACGAAAGUCGUAGUCGAUGGGAAGCAGGUUAAUAUUCCUGCACCUCGCGUAAGUGCGAUGGAGGGACGGAGAAGGUUAGGUGUACCAGGCGUUGGUUGUCCUGGGGAAAGGCGGUAGGUUUGGAUCUUUGGCAAAUCCGGGAUCCUUUAAGACCGAGCACCGAGACGAGCCUUUAUGGCGAAGUCACUGAUACCACGCUUCCAGGAAAAGCUCCUAAGCUUCAGCUUACGCAGACCGUACCGUAAACCGACACAGGUGGGUAGGAUGAGAAUUCUCAGGCGCUUGAGAGAACUCGGGUGAAGGAACUAGGCAACAUGGCACCGUAACUUCGGGAGAAGGUGCACCCUUUUUGGUGGCUCGUGCGAGCUAUAGCUGAAGAGGGUCGCAGUAACCAGGCCGCUGCGACUGUUUAUCAAAAACACAGCACUCUGCAAACACGAAAGUGGACGUAUAGGGUGUGACGCCUGCCCGGUGCUGGAAGGUUAAUUGAUGGGGUCAGCCGCAAGGCGAAGCUCUUGAUCGAAGCCCCAGUAAACGGCGGCCGUAACUAUAACGGUCCUAAGGUAGCGAAAUUCCUUGUCGGGUAAGUUCCGACCUGCACGAAUGGCGUAACGACAGCGGCGCUGUCUCCACCCGAGACUCAGUGAAAUUGAAAUCGCUGUGAAGAUGCAGCGUUCCCGUGGCAAGACGGAAAGACCCCGUGAACCUUUACUAUAGCUUUACACUGAACGUUGAGUUCGUCUGUGUAGGAUAGGUGGGAGGCUAUGAAACUGUGGCGCUAGCUGCAGUGGAGCCAUCCUUGAAAUACCACCCUGUCGUGCUUGACGUUCUAACCUGGGCCCAUUAUCUGGGUCGGGGACCGUGUAUGGUGGGUAGUUUGACUGGGGCGGUCUCCUCCUAAAGAGUAACGGAGGAGCUCGAAGGUACGCUCAGCGCGGUCGGACAUCGCGCACUGUGUGCAAAGGCAUAAGCGUGCUUGACUGCAAGAUCGACGGAUCAAGCAGGUAGGAAACUAGGACUUAGUGAUCCGGUGGUUCUGUAUGGAAGGGCCAUCGCUCAACGGAUAAAAGGUACUCCGGGGAUAACAGGCUGAUACCGCCCAAGAGUUCAUAUCGACGGCGGUGUUUGGCACCUCGAUGUCGGCUCAUCACAUCCUGGGGCUGUAGUCGGUCCCAAGGGUAUGGCUGUUCGCCAUUUAAAGUGGUACGCGAGCUGGGUUCAGAACGUCGUGAGACAGUUCGGUCCCUAUCUGCCAUGGGCGUUGGAGAUUUGAGAGGGGCUGCUCCUAGUACGAGAGGACCGGAGUGGACGAACCUCUGGUGUUCCGGUUGUCACGCCAGUGGCAUUGCCGGGUAGCUAUGUUCGGAAGCGAUAACCGCUGAAAGCAUCUAAGCGGGAAGCGCGCCUCAAGAUGAGAUCUCCCGGGGCACAAGCCCCCUGAAGGAACCAUGUAGACUACGUGGUUGAUAGGUCAGGUGUGUAAGUACAGCAAUGUAUUGAGCUAACUGAUACUAAUGAUCCGUGCGGCUUGACCAU
RNAcentral lists this ribosomal RNA (2880 nucleotides) under Stenotrophomonas maltophilia. RNAcentral describes it as "23S ribosomal RNA". It matches the Rfam family "Bacterial large subunit ribosomal RNA". Lineage: Bacteria; Pseudomonadati; Pseudomonadota; Gammaproteobacteria; Lysobacterales; Lysobacteraceae. The record is from RNAcentral.